This 502-nucleotide ribosomal RNA is filed under the name uncultured bacterium. RNAcentral describes it as "bacterial SSU rRNA". It matches the Rfam family "Bacterial small subunit ribosomal RNA", at positions 8 to 507 of the family's 1533-position model. The record is from RNAcentral.
AGAGUUUGAUCCUGGCUCAGAUUAAACGCUGGCGGCAUGCCUUACACAUGCAAGUCGAACGGCAGCACGGGGCAACCUGGUGGCGAGUGGCGAACGGGUGAGUAAAGCAUCGGAACGUGCCCUGGAGUGGGGGAUAACGUAGCGAAAGUUACGCUAAUACCGCAUAUUCUGUGAGCAGGAAAGCAGGGGAUCGCAAGACCUUGCGCUCUGGGAGCGGCCGAUGUCGGAUUAGCUAGUUGGUGGGGUAAAGGCCUACCAAGGCGACGAUCCGUAGCGGGUCUGAGAGGAUGAUCCGCCACACUGGGACUGAGACACGGCCCAGACUCCUACGGGAGGCAGCAGUGGGGAAUUUUGGACAAUGGGCGGAAGCCUGAUCCAGCCAUGCCGCGUGAGUGAAGAAGGCCUUCGGGUUGUAAAGCUCUUUCGGCGGGGAAGAAAUUGCACGGGUUAAUACCCUGUGUGGAUGACGGUACCGGCAUAAGAAGCACCGGCUAACUACGUG